GGCCUUGAGGUGUUAGCAUAUUAGACUGCAAAUCUAAAGUAGCAGGUUGACGCCUGCCGGGGCUU
This 65-nucleotide transfer RNA is filed under the name Aplocheilus panchax (blue panchax). RNAcentral describes it as "tRNA-Cys". It matches the Rfam family "tRNA". From Rfam's summary of the family: Transfer RNA (tRNA) molecules are approximately 80 nucleotides in length. The record is from RNAcentral. Lineage: Eukaryota; Metazoa; Chordata; Actinopteri; Cyprinodontiformes; Aplocheilidae.